GAUGAAGAACGCAGCGAAAUGCGAUAAGUAAUGUGAAUUGCAGAAUUCAGUGAAUCAUCGAAUCUUUGAACGCACCUUGCGCUCUUUGGUAUUCCGAAGAGCAUGCCUGUUUGAGUGUCAUGAAAAUAUCAACCUUGACUUGGGUUUUGUGCUCUAGUCUCGGCUUGGAAUUGGGUGCCUGCCGCUUUUACGAGCGGCUCACCUUAAAUGUAUUAGCUGGAUCUGUCUUUGAGACUUGGUUUGACUUGGCGUAAUAAGUAUUUCGCUAAGGACAUUCUUCGGAGUGGCCUCGUUUCUAGGACGCUUGUCCGCUUUCCAAUACAAGUUCCACCUCGUGGACAUGACUUUUUAUUAUCUGGCCUCAAAUCAGGUAGGACUACCCGCUGAACUUAAGCAUAUCAAUAAGCGGAGGA
This 413-nucleotide unclassified non-coding RNA is filed under the name soil metagenome. RNAcentral's name for it is "partial contains 5.8S ribosomal RNA, internal transcribed spacer 2, and large subunit ribosomal RNA". The stretch from base 1 to 120 matches the Rfam family "5.8S ribosomal RNA", at positions 35 to 154 of the family's 154-position model. The record is from RNAcentral.